GGCUACGUAGCUCAGUUGGUUAGAGCACAUUCACUCAUAAUGAUGGGGUCACAGGUUCGAAUCCCGUCGUAGCCACCA
RNAcentral lists this transfer RNA (78 nucleotides) under Vibrio cholerae. RNAcentral describes it as "tRNA-Met". It matches the Rfam family "tRNA". From Rfam's summary of the family: Transfer RNA (tRNA) molecules are approximately 80 nucleotides in length. Their secondary structure includes four short double-helical elements and three loops (D, anti-codon, and T loops). The record is from RNAcentral. Lineage: Bacteria; Pseudomonadati; Pseudomonadota; Gammaproteobacteria; Vibrionales; Vibrionaceae.